GCCUCGCGAGACCGCUGUCUACGGCGCUGACGCCGCCUCUGCCUCUUGACCCCUUGGCCCCGCUGUCCUGAUCCCUGAGGUCGGGGCCUGGUCUGCACUCCAGGAAAGACGAGUGCGCUUAGUGUGCGCUGCACGUGAGCAGUGAAGUUGAUUCCACGCGCUGCGCUGCUCGGCAGCUGUCCCAGAACUGACCACGGACCCCUCCGCGGGUCCUGCUCCUGACAAGGGCCUUCCGGCACUGGGAGUUUUGUGUUAGUGGAAAGGAAGAAUCUAAUAAUACCACCACCUUUACAGUAAAGACGCUGCGAAUUGACGCCUUUUAUAAUAAAGACACUUAUCUUGCCCAAGAGCUGGCAUCUGGGUUUCCUGCAUUACUUAUUAAGAAGCUUUCACCACCUCGCAGUUGUAGAGAUAGUCCCCGAAAUAUUAUUCCAAUAAAGUGUUUUCCUCCUUUC
This 455-nucleotide long non-coding RNA is filed under the name Homo sapiens (human). RNAcentral's name for it is "novel transcript". Lineage: Eukaryota; Metazoa; Chordata; Mammalia; Primates; Hominidae. The record is from RNAcentral.